CCUACGGGUGACAGCAGUGGGGAAUAUUGCACAAUGGGGGAAACCCUGAUGCAGCGACGCCGCGUGAGUGAAGAAGUAUUUCGGUACGUAAAGCUCUAUCAGCAGGGAAGAAAAUGACGGUACCUGACUAAGACGCCCCGGCUAACUACGUGCCAUCAGCCGCGGUAAUACGUAGGGGGCAAGCGUUAUCCGGAUUUACUGGGUGUAAAGGGAGCGUAGACGGCAGCGCAAGUCUGGAGUGAAAUCCCAUGGCUUAACCAUGGAACUGCUUUGGAAACUGUGCAGCUAGAGUGCAGGAGAGGUAAGCGGAAUUCCUAGUGUAGCGGUGAAAUGCGUAGAUAUUAGGAGGAACACCAGUGGCGAAGGCGGCUUACUGGACUGUAACUGACGUUGAGGCUCGAAAGCGUGGGGAGCAAACAGGAUUAGAUACCCCUGUAGUC
Molecule: ribosomal RNA, 440 nt
Filed under: uncultured bacterium
Lineage: Bacteria
Description: partial 16S ribosomal RNA
Rfam family: Bacterial small subunit ribosomal RNA
Source: RNAcentral